Non-coding RNA from Myodes glareolus (Bank vole), 1384 nucleotides. NCBI's taxonomy places the organism in Eukaryota, Metazoa, Chordata, Mammalia, Rodentia, Cricetidae. The record is from RefSeq and is a predicted model, not a curated record.
CCGUUCUCCAGGAAGAGGCGGACAAACUUGGGCCUGUCCUUUAUGAGGGCCGUGAACAUGACUUCCUGCAGGUCAGCCGACUGAAGAGAAAGAGCAGGAGAGAGCAGGUGGGAGAACACCAAGGUGGAGCCUUCGAAUGUGACCUGGGCUCUUUUUUAGGUGGAGAUAGCAUGCCCACUGAAGCGCAACACGGGCCAGGUGCUGACGCAGGCACGCGGCAUGAAAAGCAUCCGGGAGCAGAAGCCAACGGACCACACUGAGAACCACUUGCAUAUGGGAAAGGAGAGGCUUGGCAGACGGACACACCUCUGUUUCCAGAUCUUGAUCCUACCAUUCUCUAGCUCAAAGAGGCAGACAAGAUUUUUGUAUCUCAGCCUCAGUUUGUUUUGUUCUGCUUGUUGAAGACGAAAUGAAGCAACCCAGGUCCCCCAUGCUCUUCCAGAGUAGCCCUCCAGACACCACCGGGAACCCCCAUCCUUUAACAUCCAUGGUGCUCUCAUUCGUUUGUCAACAAAACGAGAUCAUCUCUGCUGUGGGUUGAUGCAAGUGGCCAGGAAACUGCUGCGUGCGUUGUAAAGGGCUGCGUGACGUCGUCGUAAAAUUGACUGUUAAGUGGAUACGAGUACAGAGCUUAGAAGGAGCCAAUGUUCUAAGUCCUCUAGAAAUACCAUCUAAUUCAAUCAGUGCAACAACACAAAAGGGAAGAGAGAAGUCAUCUUACCCUCCAAGGCUGUACUCCCAGGAAACUGACUCCACUUACCUUUGUACAGAGCGUAGGAAAUGGCGUUGCUCACAACCUCGUCUCCGGCCUCUUCCAUCUUGAUAACUAUUCCUGAGGGAACCUUCCUGCCAUGAGCUCCAAGAUGCUACAUUGAGAGCCGGACUGUGGAAUGGGACCACAUGGUGAACAGGAAGAGAAUCCCAGGUCACUGGGGGUUCCUGAGGGGCAUGUGCUAGACAGCACAGGUUCAGUGCCCCAUUCGAGAUAUGCAUUCUCAACUCCACAGAAGGUGCACUCAUGAGUCUCCAGGGGAUUGUUUUCAUGAACAGCGAAUGCCUGGCAUGACAGUAAGUGAGCUGGGCAGUGCAACCAUAGAGGGCAGUGUGCUCUCUCUCCAGACCUCAUGCUGGUCAGAACAGGGUGGCCCUUCGUAGCCCCAGCAAUUCUGCUUUGCUUUACAUAAUUGUGUAUAUUUUUAUUCAAGGUUUAUAUCUGAUGAUCUUCGCAAUGUCAAGCACUUUUCUGGAUUUUAAUGGAAAAUAAAAGAAACAAAAGACCUACAGGUUUGAGCUGUAGCUCAGAGACAGUAUUUCACUAGCACAUGCCAGACCAUGGGUUCAGAUCCCAGCACCAGACAACAGAAAAAUUAUUUAAUAUAAUGGA